This is a regulatory RNA element of Shimia marina, 78 nucleotides long. It matches the Rfam family "L2-Alphaproteobacteria ribosomal protein leader". NCBI's taxonomy places the organism in Bacteria, Pseudomonadati, Pseudomonadota, Alphaproteobacteria, Rhodobacterales, Roseobacteraceae. The record is from Rfam.
UGGCACCUACGGGGGCCUUUAACAUCGCUGGACCAAAGACAAUAACCUAAGGUCUGGCUGCUAUACGGAAGACAGAAA